AUUGAACGCUGGCGGCAUGCUUUACACAUGCAAGUCGAACGGUAACAGGCCUUCGGGUGCUGACGAGUGGCGAACGGGUGAGUAAUGCAUCGGAACGUACCCAGAGGUGGGGGAUAACGCAGCGAAAGCUGUGCUAAUACCGCAUGUGAUCUGAGGAUCAAAGCGGGGGACCGAGCAGCAAUGUUUGGCCUCGCGCCUUUGGAGCGGCCGAUGUCGGAUUAGCUAGUUGGUGGGGUAAAGGCCUACCAAGGCGACGAUCCGUAGCUGGUCUGAGAGGACGACCAGCCACACUGGGACUGAGACACGGCCCAGACUCCUACGGGAGGCAGCAGUGGGGAAUUUUGGACAAUGGGCGCAAGCCUGAUCCAGCAAUGCCGCGUGCGGGAAGAAGGCCUUCGGGUUGUAAACCGCUUUUGGCAGGAACGAAACGGUGUCCGCUAAUACCGGGCGCUAAUGACGGUACCUGCAGAAUAAGCACCGGCUAACUACGUG
RNAcentral lists this ribosomal RNA (492 nucleotides) under uncultured bacterium. Its description in RNAcentral is "partial 16S ribosomal RNA". It matches the Rfam family "Bacterial small subunit ribosomal RNA", at positions 29 to 507 of the family's 1533-position model. The record is from RNAcentral.